Molecule: ribosomal RNA, 500 nt
Filed under: uncultured bacterium
Lineage: Bacteria
Description: partial 16S ribosomal RNA
Rfam family: Bacterial small subunit ribosomal RNA
Source: RNAcentral
AUUGAACGCUGGCGGCAUGCCUUACACAUGCAAGUCGAACGGCAGCACGGGAGCAAUCCUGGUGGCGAGUGGCGAACGGGUGAGUAAAGUAUCGGAACGUGCCCAGUCGUGGGGGAUAACGUAGCGAAAGUUACGCUAAUACCGCAUACGAUCUAUGGAUGAAAGCGGGGGAUCGCAAGACCUCGCGCGAUUGGAGCGGCCGAUAUCAGACUAGGUAGUUGGUGGGGUAAAGGCCCACCAAGCCGACGAUCUGUAGCUGGUCUGAGAGGACGACCAGCCACACUGGGACUGAGACACGGCCCAGACUCCUGCGGGAGGCAGCAGUGGGGAAUUUUGGACAAUGGGCGAAAGCCUGAUCCAGCCAUGCCGCGUGCAGGAUGAAGGCCUUCGGGUUGUAAACUGCUUUUGUACGGAACGAAAAGGUUUGGCCUAAUAAGCUGAGCUCAUGACGGUACCGUAAGAAUAAGCACCGGCUAACUACGUGCCAGCCGCCGCCGUAA